Nicotiana tabacum (common tobacco) is the source of this 970-nucleotide non-coding RNA. NCBI's taxonomy places the organism in Eukaryota, Viridiplantae, Streptophyta, Magnoliopsida, Solanales, Solanaceae. The record is from RefSeq and is a predicted model, not a curated record.
UGCAAAAUGAUAAAUUGCAGUAAAGUAAAUUGUACAACGAUGUUUUUAUACUAGUUCAAAUUUAAUGUAAAUUCUUGUCUAGUCCUCUUGGGUUGCAAGAGAGUUCAUUACUUAACCAAUAUAGUUGACUAUGGUACUAUUUGUAAAUAUAAGUGCAAUAAAAAUGAUAAAUUGCAAUAAAGUAAAUUGAACAACGAUAUUUUUAUACUAGUUCAAAUUCAAUGUAAAUUCUUGUCUAGUCCCCUUGGGUUGCAAAAGUGCUCUCUGUGAUGGCUCCUUAUUAAAAUUGUUAUAAAGAGGUUGUGUGACUUCUUUACACUUCACAAUCUUUUUUUUGAGAUUAUUUCCUUAAUAUCUGCUUGACAGAGAGAUGACAACCCAAGAGAUUUGAUCCUUGAAAGAUAUUCCAAGAAUAAAGUUGGGAGCCUUCCAAGAUACAGCUUGAUUAUCGCAUAUAUGAUUUCUUUGUGGUUUGCUUUGAUUUAGAAUAAUCUUAGUCAAAAACCCCAUCAAGUGUUUGAUUUGUGCUUGCGAGAUUCCUCAUUAGUUGAAUCACCAAAAUUGAUUCUUCUUUCCUUAGAGAUGACAACUCAAGAGAUUUGAUCAUUGGAAGAUAUUCCAAGAAUAAAGUUGGGAGACUUCCAAGAUACUGCUUGAUUAUCGCAUAUAUGCUUUUUUUUGUGGUUUGCUUUGAUUUAGGACAUUCUUAGUGAAAAACCCCAUCAAGUGUUUGAUUUGUGCUGGCGAGAUUCCUCAUUGGUUUAAUCACCAUAAUUGAUUCUUCUUUUCUUGCAAGCCGCUAUCUUCCAACUCUCGAUUGAUUCUUCUUUCCUUGUAAUUUGUUGUCUUCUUUUUCCUUAUGCAUCCGUUAUCCUUUUUUUUUUCUUUUUGCGCAAGUAUAUUUACCUUCAUCAGUGUAAUUCUGCAAUUGCACAAGUGAAGUCAUCAAUAAAACAAGGCAAUUAGUCUC